This 253-nucleotide ribosomal RNA is filed under the name uncultured bacterium. RNAcentral's name for it is "partial 16S ribosomal RNA". It matches the Rfam family "Bacterial small subunit ribosomal RNA", at positions 524 to 776 of the family's 1533-position model. The record is from RNAcentral.
UACGUAGGGUGCAAGCGUUGUCCGGAAUUCUUGGGCGUAAAGAGCUCGUAGGCGGUCUGUCGCGUCGGCUGUGAAAACCCGAGGCUCAACCUCGGGCCUGCAGUCGAUACGGGCAAACUGGAGUGUUGCAGGGGAGACUGGAAUUCCUGGUGUAGCGGUGAAAUGCGCAGAUAUCAGGAGGAACACCGGUGGCGAAGGCGGGUCUCUGGGCAACAACUGACGCUGAGGAGCGAAAGCGUGGGGAGCGAACAGG